This 69-nucleotide transfer RNA is filed under the name Marmota monax (woodchuck). It matches the Rfam family "tRNA". From Rfam's summary of the family: Transfer RNA (tRNA) molecules are approximately 80 nucleotides in length. Their secondary structure includes four short double-helical elements and three loops (D, anti-codon, and T loops). The record is from Rfam by way of RNAcentral. Lineage: Eukaryota; Metazoa; Chordata; Mammalia; Rodentia; Sciuridae.
GGAGUUGUGGCUCAGUGGUAGAGUACCCUCCUAGCAUGUGCGAGGCCCUGGGUUCGAUCCUCAGCACCA